Long non-coding RNA from Ipomoea nil (Japanese morning glory), 463 nucleotides. RefSeq lists it as uncharacterized. The record is from RefSeq and is a predicted model, not a curated record. The transcript is spliced from 3 exons. NCBI's taxonomy places the organism in Eukaryota, Viridiplantae, Streptophyta, Magnoliopsida, Solanales, Convolvulaceae.
UGUCACAAUUUAUAUAAUGUGCUAAAGGAUAGGGAUCAAACACCCAAAUCUCUCUACACCCUCAUUCUUGUGUGGUAACAGGGAUCAGAAACGAAUUCUGGUUAAUAAGCUUUACCAUAUGAGCAGAUUGUGGCUACAAUCUAAUAGUCAAGGGACCAAAAUGAAAUUAACUCUUUAGGCAAAUCACUUGCCAACAGAAAUUAGGCUCAGAUUUGGUAAUGGAGAAGCCAUACCGCCAUGGCUGCAGACCUGGAGGUCGCCCCGCCAAGAUACGGGUCGGGUCCCUCCCUACCCGAUGAACUGUAGAAAAAUCAUCAUCAUCACGGCCUACAUAACCAAUAAUAAUAAUAAUAACAGAAACAACAACACCACAAACAUGAACAGGAAACUGAAGAUCUGAAGGUUCAAGCGCGUAUAGCUUCACUGCAAAACCGAGGUUUAAGCAGAACAAGAAUGGCUACCC